UACUAAAAUCAGACUAUGCUGCAUGAGAACAACUAACCUCCUCUAAAAGACCCUCACCACGUUAUUUUUUACCUCGUGGAAUCCAGGAGCUGACUAAGUUGGCUUGGCUGUACAUAGGAGGAAGACCCUGAUCCCUAGUGCUCAACACAAAAACGCUUCAAUAAUCCCCUGAGAUUGUUUUACCUUGCAACACUCUCUGGAAAAUUGUUGUUCCAGGAAUGUAAUGAAAAGAUCUGCAAGAGAGUACAGCCCCUGUUGACUGACUUGUCUUGA
Molecule: long non-coding RNA, 273 nt
Filed under: Macaca mulatta (Rhesus monkey)
Lineage: Eukaryota; Metazoa; Chordata; Mammalia; Primates; Cercopithecidae
Description: lncRNA (ENSMMUG00000041842.2)
Source: RNAcentral